RNAcentral lists this long non-coding RNA (416 nucleotides) under Malus domestica (apple). Its description in RNAcentral is "long non-coding RNA (MDOM_LNC016619)". Lineage: Eukaryota; Viridiplantae; Streptophyta; Magnoliopsida; Rosales; Rosaceae. The record is from RNAcentral.
CUUAAAAGAUCAUUAUUGGGCCAAGAAUUAUGACUUUUUAACUCAAGUUGGCCCAUUCUCGACCCAAGUGUUAUUUUAAAUCCAAAUAAAUCAUAAAAUCAAGUAUCAACAAAUUGGAUAGAAACAAUGAUAGGCGUGCAAAACGAAAAGAGAGACGUAUGGAACUCAUUAACCUAGUUAUUAUAAAUAUGCAUGAUUACUGAUUAUAGUCAAUAUUGGCCUUUUUUUCAUUUAGAGAAACAACAAACGUUGUUGGGCUUUAAGGUUAUUGAAGUUGUUGAUGCACAAAACUGGAGGUCUUGGAACAACAUAAAUCCGGCCGUGAAUCUGCAAGAAAUGUAAAUAACACAAGAUGUAUCGUGGUUCACCCUAAUGUUUGGGCUACGUCCACACUGAUUAUUGUAUUUCUUUGAGAA